RNAcentral lists this ribosomal RNA (87 nucleotides) under Salvator merianae (Argentine black and white tegu). Lineage: Eukaryota; Metazoa; Chordata; Lepidosauria; Squamata; Teiidae. The record is from RNAcentral.
CACUGUUGCCUUAUCUUGGAAGCUAAAAGUCAGGCCUGAGUAGUGCUUUGGUGGGAGACCACUUGGGAAUACCGAAUGCUGCAGAGA